ACUUUUCCAAGUUUGACCAUUCUUCAUAAGAUGAUUUGCAUUUUAACAACAUUAACUGAUAUUGGUUUGCUAGGCUUUGAUCCAGCCAAGGACCAAAUUAUCACAUGCCAUUCAUUCCUCAUAAGCAGGAUUUACUUCAUUCUCUAUUCUUGGAGCAGGGCUAGGCUCAAUACCAGUCACAAACUUCAUGAACUUAUAAUUUUCCCUUAAGGCACACUCAAACUAGUUUCGCCAGGACAAGUAAUUUGAUCUUUCCAACUUAUCCGGUACCAUACUGAAUAUGUUGUAUGAUACAUGACCAAAAUGCAUAUUUGGUGUUGCAGGUAUCACUGGUUGUGUAGGUGUUAAGGUCUAUCCAUUUUACCUUUGAAACAAAAUUAAUUCAGAAAAUAUUAUGAGAGAUGAAGAACUUGAUUCCAAAGAACUAAUAGAAACUAUCAGGAUCUACAGAACAUCUGAUACCAUGUAAAGAAGCUAAACUAAUGACAGAAACAGAAUUUGUGAUUCACAUGUAUCGAAUUGGAUAAAGAUUAUGGAUAAUUGUAUUG
This 548-nucleotide long non-coding RNA is filed under the name Zostera marina. RNAcentral's name for it is "long non-coding RNA (ZMAR_LNC000585)". The record is from RNAcentral. Lineage: Eukaryota; Viridiplantae; Streptophyta; Magnoliopsida; Alismatales; Zosteraceae.